RNAcentral lists this unclassified non-coding RNA (300 nucleotides) under fungal sp. RNAcentral's name for it is "partial internal transcribed spacer region". The stretch from base 1 to 46 matches the Rfam family "Eukaryotic small subunit ribosomal RNA", at positions 1786 to 1831 of the family's 1831-position model. Lineage: Eukaryota; Fungi. The record is from RNAcentral.
AAGUCGUAACAAGGUAACCGUAGGUGAACCUGCGGUUGGAUCAUUAGUGGUUUUUACGCAGCGCUGUUGUAGUGUUUCUGGGGGGUUUGGUGUUUGCUUAGGGUGUUGUUGGUUGUUUGUCUGUUUUUGUGCGAUGUCUUGUGCAUUGCCUUGUGCGGUGCCUUGUGCGGUGCCUGGCAGUACAAACGAUCGACGGCAACACUCGGACCAGACCCAAGACCUUGCAGACAAUAGACGUCUUUGCUUGCUUUGAUGAAACCAAAUCAAAAACAACUUUUGACAACGGAUCUCUUGGCUCUC